RNAcentral lists this ribosomal RNA (433 nucleotides) under uncultured bacterium. Its description in RNAcentral is "partial 16S ribosomal RNA". It matches the Rfam family "Bacterial small subunit ribosomal RNA", at positions 29 to 507 of the family's 1533-position model. The record is from RNAcentral.
AGCGAACGCUGGCGGCAGGCCUAACACAUGCAAGUCGAACGGAUCCUUCGGGAUUAGUGGCGGACGGGUGAGUAACACGUGGGAACGUGCCCUUUGGUUCGGAACAACUCAGGGAAACUUGAGCUAAUACCGGAUGUGCCCUUCGGGGGAAAGAUUUAUCGCCAUUGGAGCGGCCCGCGUCUGAUUAGCUAGUUGGUGAGGUAACGGCCCACCAAGGCGACGAUCAGUAGCUGGUCUGAGAGGAUGAUCAGCCACACUGGGACUGAGACACGGCCCAGACUCCUACGGGAGGCAGCAGUGGGGAAUCUUGCGCAAUGGGCGAAAGCCUGACGCAGCCAUGCCGCGUGAAUGAUGAAGGUCUUAGGAUUGUAAAAUUCUUUGAGCGGGGACGAUAAUGACGGUACCCGCAGAAGAAGCUCCGGCUAACUUCGUG